AACGUAGGAGGCAAGCGUUAUCCGGAUUUACUGGGCGUAAAGCGCGGGCAGGCGGUUUUGCCAGUCUGAUGUGAAAUCUCUCAGCUCAACUGGGAGCAGCCAUUGGGAACUACAGAACUGGAGUCUGACAGAGGUAGGCGGAAUUCCGGGUGGAGUGGUGAAAUGCGUAGAGAUCCGGAGGAACACCAGAGGCGAAGGCGGCCUACUGGGUCAGUACUGACGCUGAGCCGCGAAAGCCAGGGGAGCGAACGGG
RNAcentral lists this ribosomal RNA (253 nucleotides) under uncultured bacterium. Its description in RNAcentral is "partial 16S ribosomal RNA". It matches the Rfam family "Bacterial small subunit ribosomal RNA", at positions 524 to 776 of the family's 1533-position model. The record is from RNAcentral.